CGCUGGCGGCGUGCUUAACACAUGCAAGUCGAACGGGAUCCCUGCAGCUUGCUGCCGGGGUGAGAGUGGCGAACGGGUGAGUAAUGCGUGACCGACCUGCCCCAUGCACCGGAAUAGCUCCUGGAAACGGGUGGUAAUGCCGGAUGUUCCACAUGAGCGCAUGCGAGUGUGGGAAAGGCUUUUUGCGGCAUGGGAUGGGGUCGCGUCCUAUCAGCUUGUUGGUGGGGUAACGGCCUACCAAGGCGUUGACGGGUAGCCGGCCUGAGAGGGCGACCGGCCACAUUGGGACUGAGAUACGGCCCAGACUCCUACGGGAGGCAGCAGUGGGGAAUAUUGCACAAUGGGCGCAAGCCUGAUGCAGCGACGCCGCGUGCGGGAUGGAGGCCUUCGGGUUGUAAACCGCUUUUGUUCAAGGGCAAGGCAGGUUUCGGCCGUGUUGAGUGGAUUGUUCGAAUAAGCACCGGCUAACUACGUGCCAGCAGCCGCGG
This 488-nucleotide ribosomal RNA is filed under the name Bifidobacterium pseudolongum subsp. globosum. RNAcentral's name for it is "bacterial SSU rRNA". It matches the Rfam family "Bacterial small subunit ribosomal RNA", at positions 34 to 520 of the family's 1533-position model. The record is from RNAcentral. Lineage: Bacteria; Bacillati; Actinomycetota; Actinomycetes; Bifidobacteriales; Bifidobacteriaceae.